GAACGCUGGCGGCAGCCUAGAUGUACAGUCGAGCGCGCCUUCGGGUGAGCGGCGGACGGGUUAGUACGGAACGUGCCCAGCUCUGCGGAAUAGCCUCUGGAAACGGAGAGUAAUACCGCAUACGCCCUUUUGGGGAAAGAUUUAUCGGAGUUGGAUCGGCCCGCGUUAGAUUAGGUAGUUGGUGGGGUAAUGGCCUACCAAGCCUACGAUCUAUAGCUGGUUUUAGAGGAUGAUCAGCAACACUGGGACUGAGACACGGCCCAGACUCCUACGGGAGGCAGCAGUGGGGAAUCUUAGACAUGGGGGAAACCUGAUCUACCUGCCGCGUGAGUGAGGAAGGCCUAGGGUCGUAAAGCUCUUUCGCCAGGAAUGAUCAUGACCGUACCUGGUAAAGAAACCCCGGCUAACUCCGUGCCAGACGCCGCGGUAAUACCGAGGGGGUUAGCGUUGUCGGGAA
This 457-nucleotide ribosomal RNA is filed under the name uncultured bacterium. Its description in RNAcentral is "bacterial SSU rRNA". It matches the Rfam family "Bacterial small subunit ribosomal RNA", at positions 31 to 550 of the family's 1533-position model. The record is from RNAcentral.